GUCCAUCCUUAUGGGCGACUUGAAUUCGUAUAGUUAUUCGCCUCCUUUUCUUUGGUUGUCCCUAAGGGGAUCAUUGCCGCUCGCUUUUAGAGAUCUCCUAGGGGCCCAU
RNAcentral lists this ribosomal RNA (109 nucleotides) under uncultured fungus. RNAcentral's name for it is "28S ribosomal RNA". Lineage: Eukaryota; Fungi. The record is from RNAcentral.